This 61-nucleotide transfer RNA is filed under the name human gut metagenome. It matches the Rfam family "tRNA", at positions 6 to 65 of the family's 71-position model. From Rfam's summary of the family: Transfer RNA (tRNA) molecules are approximately 80 nucleotides in length. Their secondary structure includes four short double-helical elements and three loops (D, anti-codon, and T loops). Further hydrogen bonds mediate the characteristic L-shaped molecular structure. tRNAs have two regions of fundamental functional importance: the anti-codon, which is responsible for specific mRNA codon recognition, and the 3' end, to which the tRNAs corresponding amino acid is attached (by aminoacyl-tRNA synthetases). tRNAs cope with the degeneracy of the genetic code in two manners: having more than one tRNA (with a specific anti-codon) for a particular amino acid; and 'wobble' base-pairing, i.e. permitting non-standard base-pairing at the 3rd anti-codon position. The record is from RNAcentral.
GGUAGCUCAACGGCAGAGCACUCGGCUGUUAACCGAGUUGUUGUAGGUUCGAAUCCUACCC